Long non-coding RNA from Paramormyrops kingsleyae, 2777 nucleotides. RefSeq lists it as uncharacterized. The record is from RefSeq and is a predicted model, not a curated record. NCBI's taxonomy places the organism in Eukaryota, Metazoa, Chordata, Actinopteri, Osteoglossiformes, Mormyridae.
UUCACCGACGCCGACUCGACCCCAGAAUAACAAGUAACGCCCUGAAACUAAGGUCAGAUGCGUCUGUCAAGUUCUGGUGCGUCUGUCCAUUACGUCGUGAGGAAAGACAAGGUAUUCAGGAGGAAAAGAGUACAUCUGGAUAAGUAACGUUUUAUUUUUUUAAUGAGCUAUACGAAAUGAAUACAAGAAUAUGGCCACGGCCGAUUACCCGGCCUUCAGCCCAUGAGAAGAGAUGCCGAGACCCCGCAUUCCUAUGAACACAUCCCGGACUUUUUGUACACUUUAUACGGUCUGUAAGUGAGUGUCUGCCCGCCAGGGACACAUUUCCCAACAAUGGUGAGCAACCACAAGACUAGGACGUACAUAUUACUUAAGGAGGCUGCAUACCAGCAGAUGCAAACAUCCAAACACAGGUGAAAAUGCAGCAGUGCUCGAAAUGGACUGUUUAAAUUUAACCAGGCCCCAGGGAGAGGAGUUGAGCCAAACUAUAUGUCACUGGCACAGGUGAAAAAUGCAAGUUCUCGACACCACAGAGCAGCCCCCCCCUCCCCCAGCACCUGUCCAAACACCAAUUCCUUUUUCGGAGGUGAUAAACUGUAAGCUGCACGAAGCCAAGAAUCCCUGAAAGCAACACCCAGCACUGACCUGACACCUCAAAGUCACAGCGAUCAAACCCUGGAGAGGGAACAUAAAUCUAACCUCUGCUGCCCAAGCUAAUCGGGGGUGAGGAGACCGAGAGAGCGAGAGAAGCAAAGAAACGGAGCAAAGUGAGAGAUGGAGAGAGAAAGUAGGGAGAUGAAAAGCAGAAAUGAAGGCAAGGGAUACAGAAACAGAAGGAAGCACCGAGGAAGAACAAGAGGAAAAAGAUUUGAGUGAAAGAAAAGAGGCAAGAUAGCAAACAGAACGAGGAAUGCAUGUUAUUCAUUUUAUUAAAAAUAUAAUAGGUAUCCACUUGACAGAUGGAAGCAAUGUGAGGGGAAAAGAGAACAAGGCAGAGGGGGCGGACAGAGAAGCGAAUGGGUGUCCGAGGUAAGCCUGCGUCCUACAUAACUUUAAGUGCUCCGAGUCUAUUACAGAGUCUCUGAAGGAAGAACAUCGGAAGGGAAACAUACAAUCCUACAAGGUUUCUAACAAGGACGUCGACAGCCCUGCAGUCCGGAGCACUAGGGCGACAGUGGUAAAUGAGCGCUCACGCCGCGAGGAAGCCCUGCUCUAAGAGUACGACAGAGAAUGGGGCCAGGCAUCCCGAGCUGGCAUACUUACGGCAAACUGGGGGUGGGGCGAGAUGUCACCCAGGAGGGGGCGCUGCUGUGGGCAAGACAGACUCUGAGAGGAAAAAAACUGUUUGGCUUUUCCUGCUCGUUGAGAUCCCGUAAGCCCUGAUUAUCUCCGUUAACUGGUAUUUGUGACUGAUUUUAUUUAAAAAAAAAAAAAAAAUGUUUUCUGUUCAGUUUUUAAAAAUUGGAUAGAUCUGUGAAGUGGGCAGUUGAUUGAUCAAUAUGCAUACAGCAGAAUAUUUAAAAUCCUCUGGCAGAGUCAACUAAAAUGAAGAAAAAUCUGAUUUAUUAUUUAUGCGUGAAAUGAACCAUUUUCCUUGAAUAAAUUAUUUUUUUAUCAAAAGGCCAGAGCCGAAUUCGAUUUACCUACUACCAACUAGGAGCUAAGGAAAGCACCGGUUUGUGAAAAAACAGACGAUCCAUGCACUGCAAUUCAUGUAUCCACAAACCUAAACCUUGAUUUGUUCACGGUUAGUCUUAAAAACCAUGGAAAUGCUGUUUGAUCCUUCUUCUAAAACAUACACAAGUCACUGCUGUCAAAAAACUAAUUGUUCCCCUUUAUAUUAUUAAGCCACUAACCACGAAGCCAGUUUCUGUAAGAAUAGCACUCCUUUUUCCUACAUAAAUGUAACCACAAUUACUUGGAAAAAUAUGCCCAUGUUAAUGUCAGUGGGGGUUACUAACUCUGUGCUUUUAAUUGGAAAACCUCCCCUCGUCUGUUUACGCAGAGCGAGGCUGUCUUGUACAAACACACUUGGAAAAGCAUUUUCCUGAUUUGCUUAUUUGCCUCUGAAGUCCUUCUUCCUUGACGUCAGACAUGGAUCGUCAAUGUGUGUCCCCCCCCACCCCCCACACUGUUAAAAAACGACACGAUGCAGGUAUGGGCCGCGAUUGGAACCUUGUUCUAAACCAUUUGCCGGCACGCAGCUGAGAAUUGUGGGAAACACAGUGGUCAAACAAAGAGACGGGAACUGACACAGCAUUUGAAGAGGGUGAAAAUCCUUAUACUGCAAGUGUAUUAUUUAUCAUGUAAUUUCAAUAAGUCACCCCAUGCAGGACAGUUAAGGAAGUGGGCUGUUAGACUGGAAGCUGGGUCGUUUCUCUCCAUCAUUUUUACCCUGCCGACCUACCUUUGAAGAAUGUUCUUGAAUUUAAUUAAAAUAAAUGGGUUGGGCUGUUUAAAUAUGAAAAAAAAAACUGCAUUUCACUGUUGGGAAGUAGAUAAUUUAAUGGCAUGUAAACAUAAGGUCAAUAAAGUCUGGUGUUAAGUGUUAAAAAUGAGUCAUGUUUACAUGAAUGAAAGCCCUGCUUUUAAUCACUCCUGUGGAUUUUUAAGCUGCUUGCCAUCUUUCCGCAGCUGUUGUCCAGUUUAUCUACUGUUCAACCCGACCCCCGACCUCCUGUUCUGAUAGGGCCAGACAGAUCCUCUGAAUGCCAACACAAAACACAUUUCCUCCUGGUUUAGUGAAAGCAAGAGACCACAAAAUGGGCUCCAGACCA